Molecule: ribosomal RNA, 437 nt
Filed under: uncultured bacterium
Lineage: Bacteria
Description: partial 16S ribosomal RNA
Rfam family: Bacterial small subunit ribosomal RNA
Source: RNAcentral
GAUGAACGCUGGCGGCAUGCCUAACACAUGCAAGUCGAACGGGGAGUGCUGUUUCCAGUGGCGAACGGGUGAGAAACGCGUAGGAACCUGCCCUCGGGUGGGGAACAAUAACUGAAAACGGUUGCUAAUACCCCGUAGGCUGAGGAGCAAAAGGAGAAUUACGCCCAAGGAGGGGCGCGCGUCUGAUUAGCUAGUUGGUGAGGUAUUAGCUUACCAAGGCGAUGACCAGUAGCUGCUCUGAGAGGAUGAUCAGCCACACUGGGAGUGAGACACGGCGCAGAGUCCUACGGGGGACAGCAGUGUGGAAUAUUCCGCAAUGUGCGAGAGACUGACGGAGCAAUGCCGCGUGUGAGUGAAGGACGUACGGGUCUUCAACUUCUUUUCUCCGAGAAAAAACAAUGACGGUAUCUGAGGAAUAAGCCUCGGCUAACUCUGUG